Molecule: non-coding RNA, 230 nt
Organism: Pelobates cultripes (western spadefoot toad)
Lineage: Eukaryota; Metazoa; Chordata; Amphibia; Anura; Pelobatidae
Source: the annotation of a GenBank genome assembly
AAGGGCUACUAAACUGGUUCAUGGAUUGCAGGAUAAAACUUACCAGGAAAGGUUAAAGGAUCUUAACAUGUAUAGCUUGGAGGAAAGAUGAGACGGGGGAUAUGAUAGAAACAUUUAAAUACACAAAAGGAAUCAACACAGUAAAGAAAGAGACUAUAUUUAAAAGAAGAAAAACUACCACAACAAGAGGACAUAGUCUUAAAUUAGAGGGACAAAGGUUUAAAAAUAAU